Molecule: ribosomal RNA, 590 nt
Filed under: Hansenula anomala
Lineage: Eukaryota; Fungi; Ascomycota; Saccharomycetes; Phaffomycetales; Wickerhamomycetaceae
Description: Wickerhamomyces anomalus partial large subunit ribosomal RNA
Rfam family: Eukaryotic large subunit ribosomal RNA
Source: RNAcentral
CGGGGGAUUGCCUAGUACGGCGAGUGAAGCGGCAAAAGCUCAAAUUUGAAAUCUAGCACCUUCGGUGUUCGAGUUGUAAUUUGAAGAUGGUAACCUUGGGUUUGGCUCUUGUCUAUGUUCCUUGGAACAGGACGUCAUAGAGGGUGAGAAUCCCGUCUGAUGAGAUGCCCAUUCCUAUGUAAGGUGCUAUCGAAGAGUCGAGUUGUUUGGGAAUGCAGCUCUAAGUGGGUGGUAAAUUCCAUCUAAAGCUAAAUAUUGGCGAGAGACCGAUAGCGAACAAGUACAGUGAUGGAAAGAUGAAAAGAACUUUGAAAAGAGAGUGAAAAAGUACGUGAAAUUGUUGAAAGGGAAGGGCAUUAGAUCAGACUUGGUGUUUUACGAUUAUCUUCUCUUCUUGAGUUGUGCACUCGUAUUUCACUGGGCCAGCAUCGAUUCGGAUGGCAAGAUAAUGGCAGUUGAAUGUGGCUUCACUUCGGUGGAGUGUUAUAGCUUCUGCUGAUAUUGCCUGUCUGGAUCGAGGGCUGCGUCUUUUGACUAGGAUGCUGGCGUAAUGAUCUAAUGCCGCCCGUCUUAAACCCCGGGACCAAAAA